This 426-nucleotide ribosomal RNA is filed under the name uncultured Paraglomeraceae. RNAcentral describes it as "bacterial SSU rRNA". It matches the Rfam family "Eukaryotic small subunit ribosomal RNA", at positions 459 to 886 of the family's 1831-position model. The record is from RNAcentral. Lineage: Eukaryota; Fungi; Glomeromycota; Glomeromycetes; Paraglomerales.
GGGAGGUAGUGACAAUAAAUAACAAUACGGGGCCUUUCAGGUCUCGUAAUUGGAAUGAGUACAAUCUAAACCCCUUAACGAGGAACAAUUGGAGGGCAAGUCUGGUGCCAGCAGCCGCGGUAAUUCCAGCUCCAAUAGCGUAUAUUAAAGUUGUUGCAGUUAAAAAGCUCGUAGUUGAACCUUAGGCCCGUGCGGGCGGUCCGUCCUCUGGGCGAGCACUGCUUCGUCGCGGGUCUCACCUUCUGGCGAGCGUGGAUGCCAUUUAUUUGGUGUCCGCGGGAACCAGGACCUUUACCUUGAAAAAAUUAGAGUGCUCAAAGCGGGCUCCGACGCUUGAAUACAUUAGCAUGGAAUAAUGAAAUAGGACGUUCGAUCUUAUUUUGUUGGUUUCUAGGAUUGACGUAAUGAUUAAUAGGGAUAGUUGGG